Molecule: unclassified non-coding RNA, 209 nt
Filed under: Hevea brasiliensis (rubber tree)
Lineage: Eukaryota; Viridiplantae; Streptophyta; Magnoliopsida; Malpighiales; Euphorbiaceae
Source: RNAcentral
GAAUAUAAAAUAAGAGAGGUCUAAAUGAUGAUGAUUAUUAAUAAUUAUUUUAUUACAAUUGUUGUUAUCAUAGCUUGUCAAGUCUUCUAAGACUUUCCACUAGAAAUGCAACAAAUGAACUGUCAAGGUGAUAAAAAAAAGUCUAUUAAAUGCAUGCAUCAGUCUAAAACAUAGUUGCCUAAUUUGCUCUCUUACAAAUCACGAUCUGG